RNAcentral lists this unclassified non-coding RNA (347 nucleotides) under Bombus terrestris (buff-tailed bumblebee). Its description in RNAcentral is "misc RNA ENSBTSG00005026088.1". The record is from RNAcentral. Lineage: Eukaryota; Metazoa; Arthropoda; Insecta; Hymenoptera; Apidae.
GGUAUCGGCAGUCUCGUUCGAGUGGUUCAACCGUGAACACGUAGGAGACAGUCAGCUUCAGUGCCUCCGAUUCGCUAAACGUGGAGUAACGAACCGUUUCAAUCUCUCAGUGCUCUUCAAGCGAUCCUGCAGGCUCAAUCUUACCAUCAGGCGUAACGAUCAGUGGACAGUCCUCUGCGAAGUCUUCAGUUUUGAACGAUAUCUCCCAGCAUGCGUGAAGAUAUUACGAAGUUAUUGUGACAUCCGAGACCAUCGCACCGCUUCAGAGACCACGUCACACACCGCGGGCAAGAUGGAUGCCAGAUGUCUACACAUCCUUACUGGGUACCUUCGAUAGGCUUAGGGAC